RNAcentral lists this ribosomal RNA (641 nucleotides) under uncultured Planctomycetales bacterium. Its description in RNAcentral is "bacterial SSU rRNA". It matches the Rfam family "Bacterial small subunit ribosomal RNA", at positions 120 to 777 of the family's 1533-position model. The record is from RNAcentral. Lineage: Bacteria; Pseudomonadati; Planctomycetota; Planctomycetia; Planctomycetales.
GGUAACGUACCUCGGGUUUCAGGAUAGCGUUCCGAAAGGGACGGUAAUACUGGAUGAUAUCAGUGGUUGCAGGAUCGCUGAUCAAAGAUUUAUCAACCCGAGAGCGGCCUAUCUCCUAUCAGCUAGUUGGUGAGGUAAUGGCUCACCAAGGCAAUGACGGGUAGCGGGACUGAGAGGUUGACCCGCCACAUCGGGACUGAGACACUGCCCGGACCUCCACGGAGGGCUGCAGUAACGAAUAUUGGGCAAUGGGCGAAAGCCUGACCCAGCGACGCCGCGUAUAGGAUGAAGUUCUUCGGAAUGUAAACUAUUGUCAGGGGCAAGAAAGCCGUAAGGUUGAUCAGCCCCAGAGGAAGUCACGACUAACUUCGUGCCAGCAGCGCGGUAAUACGAAGGUGACAAGCGUUAUUCGAAAUCACUGGGCUUAAAGGGUGCGUAGGCGGAAAUGUAAGUGUCUUGUGAAAUACCUUGGCUCAACCAAGGCAUUGCUCGGCAAACUGCAUUUCUUGAGGCAAGCAGGGGUGUGUGGAACUCUUGGUGGAGCGGUGGAAUGCGUAGAUAUCAAGAGGAACGCCGAAGGUGAAGACAGCACACUGGGCUUGUCCUGACGCUGAUGCACGAAAGCGUGGGAGCAAACAGGA